Molecule: non-coding RNA, 291 nt
Filed under: Phascolarctos cinereus (koala)
Lineage: Eukaryota; Metazoa; Chordata; Mammalia; Diprotodontia; Phascolarctidae
Source: RNAcentral
GCUGGCCACGGUGAUAUGUGCCUGUAAUCUCUACUAUCAAAGAGGUUAAGGCCAAUGGACCUCUUGAGCAUGUAAGUUCCAAGCUGCAGUGGGCUAAGAUGACUGGGUGUUUGCACUAAGCUCAGAAUUAAUACAGGGGAAAGGAGGCCACCAGAUUGCCUAAGGAGGUGCAAACCAACCCAGGUUGGAAACACAGCAGGUCGUAACUCCUGUGUCAACAAAAGUGAGAUCAAGGCUUGUGAAUAGCCCUUGCUCUUCAAGCCUGGGAGAAAAAGGAAGACUCAGGGUUUU